AAUAUUUUUAAGGUCUAACCUGCCCACUGAAAAAUUUUAAAUGGCCGCAGUAUAUUAACUGUGCAAAGGUAGCAUAAUCAUUAGUCUUUUAAUUGAAGGCUGGAAUGAAUGGUUGGACGAAAUAUUAACUGUUUCAAAAUAAUUUAUAUUAGAAUUUUAUUUUUUAGUAAAAAAGCUAAAAUGUAAUUAAAAGACGAGAAGACCCUAUAAAUCUUUAUAAUUUGACUAUUUUAAUUGAAAAGAAUUAUUUUAUUAUAAUAGUUUAAAUUAUUUUAUUGGGGUGAUAUUAAAAUUUAAUAAACUUUUAAUUAAUUAAAUCAUUGAUUUAUGAAUAAUUGAUCCAAUUUUAUUGAUUAAAAAUUUAAGUUACUUUAGGGAUAACAGCGUAAUUUUUUUGGAGAGUUCAUAUCGAUAAAAAAGAUUGCGACCUCGAUGUUGGAUUAAGAGAUAGAUUUGGGAGUAGCCAUUCAAAUAUUUAAGUCUGUUCGACUUUUAAAUUCUUACGUGAUCUGAUUCAGACCGGA
Molecule: ribosomal RNA, 524 nt
Filed under: Pseudolyciella pallidiventris
Lineage: Eukaryota; Metazoa; Arthropoda; Insecta; Diptera; Lauxaniidae
Description: partial 16S ribosomal RNA
Rfam family: Bacterial large subunit ribosomal RNA
Source: RNAcentral